AAAUUGAAGAGUUUGAUCAUGGCUCAGAUUGAACGCUGGCGGCAGGCCUAACACAUGCAAGUCGAACGGUAACAGGAAGAAGCUUGCUUCUUUGCUGACGAGUGGCGGACGGGUGAGUAAUGUCUGGGAAACUGCCUGAUGGAGGGGGAUAACUACUGGAAACGGUAG
RNAcentral lists this ribosomal RNA (168 nucleotides) under Escherichia coli. Its description in RNAcentral is "partial 16S ribosomal RNA". It matches the Rfam family "Bacterial small subunit ribosomal RNA", at positions 1 to 162 of the family's 1533-position model. The record is from RNAcentral. Lineage: Bacteria; Pseudomonadati; Pseudomonadota; Gammaproteobacteria; Enterobacterales; Enterobacteriaceae.